ACGGCUUACCAAGGCUAUGAUCUAUAGCUGGUUUGAGAAGAUGAUCAGCCACACUGGAACUGAGACACGGUCCAGACUUCUACGGGAGGCAGCAGUGGGGAAUAUUGGACAAUGGGCGCAAGCCUGAUCCAGCCAUGCCGCGUGAGUGAUUAAGGUUUUAGGACUGUAAAACUCUUUUAGUGGGGAAGAUUAUGACGGUACCCACAGAAAAAGUCCCGGCUAACUCCGUGCCAGCAGCCGCGGUAAUACGGGGGGGCAAGCGUUGUUCGGAUUCAUUGGGCGUAAAGAGUAUGUAGGCUGCUUAUCAAGUUAGGAGUGAAAUCCCAGAUCUUAAGUCUGGAACUGCUCCUAAAACUGUUAGGCUAGAGUUGAAGAGAGGAUAGUAGAAUUCCUAGUGUAGAGGUGAAAUUCGUAGAUAUUAGGAGGAAUGCCAGAGGCGAAGGCGACUGUCUGGAUUCAUACUGACGCUGAGAUACGAAAGUGUGGGGAGCAAACAGGAUUAGAUACCCUGGUAGUCCACACUGUAAACGAUGAGUGCUAGGUGUUGGGACUAUAUUGUCCCAGUGUCGUAGCUAACGCGUUAAGCACUCCGCCUGGGGAGUACGG
RNAcentral lists this ribosomal RNA (606 nucleotides) under uncultured bacterium. RNAcentral's name for it is "bacterial SSU rRNA". It matches the Rfam family "Bacterial small subunit ribosomal RNA", at positions 260 to 885 of the family's 1533-position model. The record is from RNAcentral.